Tripterygium wilfordii is the source of this 699-nucleotide long non-coding RNA. RefSeq lists it as uncharacterized. Lineage: Eukaryota; Viridiplantae; Streptophyta; Magnoliopsida; Celastrales; Celastraceae. The transcript is spliced from 4 exons. The record is from RefSeq and is a predicted model, not a curated record.
AUUCAGAGCUUUUUGAUCCAAAAUACAAGGUACAAGGGCAAAUCCGUUCUUACCCAAAAAAUAAGAACUUAUGGAAUUACUUGAAUGCCCUUUUUCGCGAACUGAUUACUUUUCUCACCGUUCUGUCUGUCCGGCCGCAAAAUCAUGUCCAAACAUACAAGCAUCAGCCCGCUCCAUCUUCGAGUACUCCAAACAACCUACCUCUGGUGUAUAGAGGCAGGCUGCAGGCGUGGUGGAAUUUGGAGGAGCGGUUAAGCAGUUCAUGCACUUCAUGCUCAUGGAUACCUGGGUUACUGAUUUAGUAGCCUCAGAAUUGAUCUUUUGAGGGACUGAGUCUUUGAUCCAUACUCUCCUCUUACACCUUCACCAGGCAAUAUGAAGAUAUGAUGGCCGGCGCCGCCUCAUUCUGGCUGCAUAUAUGGAAUGGCAAGUGAAGGUUAGUGUUUUCAUUCCUCCAAAAAUAUAUAUGUGGGCCAUUCUAUGCAUAUCAUGUUUAGCAUCAAAACAUUUUCAUGAUGAAUUUACACUUUUAAUUUAAGAGUCCAUACUAGCCAAUUUAGACAAUCUUGGUUAGUACUAUGCUAUGUGAUUCUAAAGCUAUACACACACAUAUCAGAGUGACUGAGUGAGUGUAUAGCUUUUUAGCACCAAGAUACAGUGUGUAUGAAAGUUGCUUUAAUAAAAAUGUCUUUAUCAUUA